CGAACCCACGUAUCUACCUAGCCGGCCACUCCGCCGCGGGGAUUAGGGAUCGCCACCGCAUGGCUCAGCCAUGGCCACGUCGCCGCCGUCCACCUCCGCCAUGGCCGGCCUAGCGCCGCCGUCCACGUGCGCCAUGACCGGCCUAGCGCCUCUGUCCACCUCCUCCGUGGCUGCCAUAGCGCCGCUGUCCACCUCCCCCAUGUCUGCCUCAGCGCCGCCGCCUGCCUCCACCGUGCUCAGCCCAGUGCCGUUGUUUACCUCGACCAUGGCCCCCAGCAGCUCUUCCCAUCACCAAUCCAUCCCCCUAUCCCACCAUUCCCAUCGCCAGCAAGGUCCGCCAGAAGAGGCCGACAUGAAUCCCCAAGAUCAAGAUCCAAGAGGACUAGAUGAUUGCAGCGUCAGAGAAGAAUUUGUAACAAUCUACAAUAAGAGUCUUUUGAGUAUGCUUUUAUUUCUGGAGGACGCAUCCUGAGUGACUACUUAACCUAGACAGAUACGAACGCACAUCAUUAGAGCCUAGGGAGAAGAUCAAGGUAUAUGUGAUAAUUUAUAUUCCCUAGGAAAAUAUACAAUGGGGCUCGAGUCAACAUAUCCUUACCUGGGAAGAUAUUUGGCGGAAGCUCCUAGCUGUGAGAUAUCUGUAACACUUGUGUCGCCUUAUAUUGAAUAUUUUCAGUCGACCGAACGUUUCAAAGAUUUCACUAGUUGGUUUGCUGAAUCUGGAAAUGAUAUUUAGUUCUGAUUGAUGAUAGGUUGGCAUAUAUCUGUUUGUGUAUCCGUCCACUUAUUUUGCUUUUUUUAGGGCUACACUUGGUUUGCUAUAGAAAUUAGCUAAUUAUUCCUGUUGAGAAUUUGAUCACCUUUUCUCCAUUGAUCAAGUAUCUUCUCGUGGAGGUGUGGAUGAAGGACCCCUCCAAUGUGCAAAAAAUUGGCACAUGGAGCUGCCGGAGCCAGACGGCCCAGCCCCAUCGCCGACAGAAAAGCGCAGGAUGGUGCAUGGCGUCAUCAUCUAUGUUGGAUCAGUGGAGGAUCACAGCACCACGUUGAUAUGGAAAGAGAUGAUUUGGCGAAGAAAAGACCCAUCUACUUUGCAAUUACUAUACUUUGUCUAUAAGAAGUUACUGUACAUAUGCAUUUCCCUAUCAGUAUUCUGCAGCUAAACGAGGAAACUUGGUAUGUAUGAUUUGUCAUGAGUUGGAACCAGCAAGUGCUUCUUCCAUCUGUUCUUCAA
This is a long non-coding RNA of Aegilops tauschii subsp. strangulata, 1231 nucleotides long. RefSeq lists it as uncharacterized. Lineage: Eukaryota; Viridiplantae; Streptophyta; Magnoliopsida; Poales; Poaceae. The record is from RefSeq and is a predicted model, not a curated record.